This 233-nucleotide unclassified non-coding RNA is filed under the name fungal sp. RNAcentral describes it as "partial internal transcribed spacer region". The stretch from base 1 to 46 matches the Rfam family "Eukaryotic small subunit ribosomal RNA", at positions 1786 to 1831 of the family's 1831-position model. The record is from RNAcentral. Lineage: Eukaryota; Fungi.
AAGUCGUAACAAGGUUUUCGUAGGUGAACCUGCGGAAGGAUCAUUAACGAGUUAAUUGCAUUUUGCAAUAAUUCAUUUCAAACACUUGUGAACGUUUAUAAACAUUUGCUUUGGCUGAGCGCUACGCUUGGCCAAAAGUUUUUAUUAAAACCAUUUAAUUUUAACCUAUGAAAUCUGAAUUGAUAAAAAUUUUAAUUUAAUUAAAACUUUCAACAACGGAUCUCUUGGUUCUC